GAUGAACGCUAGCUACAGGCUUAACACAUGCAAGUCGCGGGGCAGCAUGGGGGUUGCUUGCAAUCCCCGAUGGCGACCGGCGCACGGGUGAGUAACGCGUAUCCAACCUGCCCUUCACCACGGGAUAACCCGGCGAAAGUCGGACUAAUACCGUAUGUUGUCCAUUGACGGCAUCCGAUUUGGACGAAAGGCUUGGCGGUGAGGGAUGGGGAUGCGUCCGAUUAGCCAGACGGCGGGGUAACGGCCCACCGUGGCUACGAUCGGUAGGGGUUCUGAGAGGAAGGGCCCCCACACGGGAACUGAGACACGGUCCAGACUCCUACGGGAGGCAGCAGUGAGGAAUAUUGGUCAAUGGGCGUAAGCCUGAACCAGCCAAGUAGCGUGCAGGAUGACGGCCCUAUGGGUUGUAAACUGCCUUUAUGCGGGGAUAAAGUGGCCCACGUGUGGGCUUUUGCAGGUACCGCAUGAAUAAGGACCGGCUAAUUCCGUG
This 490-nucleotide ribosomal RNA is filed under the name uncultured bacterium. RNAcentral describes it as "partial 16S ribosomal RNA". It matches the Rfam family "Bacterial small subunit ribosomal RNA", at positions 28 to 507 of the family's 1533-position model. The record is from RNAcentral.